This 498-nucleotide ribosomal RNA is filed under the name uncultured bacterium. Its description in RNAcentral is "bacterial SSU rRNA". It matches the Rfam family "Bacterial small subunit ribosomal RNA", at positions 899 to 1397 of the family's 1533-position model. The record is from RNAcentral.
ACUCAAAGGAAUUGACGGGGGCCCGCACAAGCGGUGGAGCAUGUGGUUUAAUUCGAUGCUACGCGAAGAACCUUACCUAGGCUUGACAUCCCGCGCUACCCCAUGAAAGUGGGGGUUCCCUUCGGGGACGCGGAGACAGGUGCUGCAUGGCUGUCGUCAGCUCGUGUUGUGAGAUGUUGGGUUAAGUCCCGCAACGAGCGCAACCCUCGUCGGUAGUUACCAGCAUUAAGUUGGGCACUCUACCGAGACCGCUGGGCUAUAAGCCAGAGGAAGGUGGGGAUGACGUCAAGUCCUCAUGGCCUUUAUGUCUAGGGCUACACACGUGCUACAAUGGGCGGUACAAACCGUUGCCAACUCGCGAGAGUGAGCAAAUCGUAAAAAACCGUCCUCAGUUCGGAUUGGAGUCUGCAACUCGACUCCAUGAAGCUGGAAUCGCUAGUAAUCGCGGAUCAGCACGCCGCGGUGAAUACGUUCCCGGGCCUUGUACACACCGCCCGU